AAAUCCAUAACCCUAAAUUUAUGAAAGAUGAAUCCUGAUCUAAAAUCCAUGAACCCUGAAUUUGUUGUAGGCAUAUCCUAAAAAGCCCAAGUUUAAAUGACCGGCACUAUUUGUCAUAUGAGAAAAGAAAACAGACUCAUUAGAAUCUAUACUCUUUCCUCCUUUAUUUUCACUAUCAGAGAGAAAAAGAUCCAGAUCUCCAACUACUAACCAGGGGAUUUCGACUGUCCUAGCUAAUUCUCCAAAAUAAUUCCAACUCACAUGUUUUUUAACCCUAUAAGGACAUCCAUAAAUCGCAGAUAGCAUCCAAUCCAGUUUCCUAUUUUUAUCACAUCGAUUUGAUUAUCAGAGGUGUGAAGAAUUUGGAGAUCAAUCUUAGAAGACCAAGAAAGCACCAUUCCUCUAGUUGUUCCAAUAAAUCCAGUUGGGUUCACAACAAUCAUAUCCAGCUUUUGAGGGCAGCCAUCAUGAACGUUUCUUUGCUAGCCUCCAAUACUCCAACAGUUUGAGGCAGGGGAAAGGAUGGACUGAGGAUAUCAUGCAUAAAGGGACAAGGAGAUGAAUAGGAAUGAGGAGAAGGUUUGUGUGGAGGGUUUUGAGAUGGUGUGCUGAUUAAUGGCCUUUUUUGGGCUGGUUUUGGCUGAGAAAAAUGGACUAAUUCCUGAGAGGCAGGGUUCUCAGUGUUUAGCUUGGAUAUAUGAGGUACUUUUACUUUUCCCAUGAGAUGGUGGGAGAAUUUUAAGAGAGGUUUUAGCUCAAAAUUCAUUUCAAUUACCUUUUCCUUUUGCUUAUGUUGUUCUUUGACUGUUUCAGAAAUUAUUGCCUUCAUCAAUCUUUUUUCAAAAUUUCUUUUUAGAAUCUUGCUUGAAAGUCUCAUUGGAUGCUUUGUUACCCUUGAUUUAGACAAGAUUUUCUUACCCUUGACCAAUUUAUCACCUUUCUUGAUACCCUUCAGAAUCUUUGGUAGCCCAUUCACCUGAGCCUUCAUGGGAUCCAAGUCUGCUGCUGAAACUAGCUCAAGAUUUUGUUGUUGAGCUGACAUCACACCCGUUUUUGUGGUUCCUAUGGUGUGCCUACCUUUGGAAAAUUCCUCAAACUCAUAGCUUUUCUUUCCUGUUUUAUUAUCCAAGACCAAAGUAGUUCUUCAUUUCGCUCCUAAACAGAAAGUAAUAUUUUCCCUACUUCCUCUUCUCAUGUGUUUGCAAUUGUUACUGUGGUGUUGCAUUUGUUUGCCCCCGUAUUAUUUUGAUGUUGAUUCUUUUGGUGUGAGUACUCUUGGUUUAAAGUUUUCAAAACUUGGAGGAGGAUCUGAAAAGCAUUCUUGAUUUUGGAUUUUGAAUAAGGAAGUUGCAUUUGUAUCAAAAUAAACUUUUGCUGGGGGACCAUGCACAAAACUGAAACUACAUAGUUCUUUCUCU
Papaver somniferum (opium poppy) is the source of this 1418-nucleotide long non-coding RNA. RefSeq lists it as uncharacterized. The record is from RefSeq and is a predicted model, not a curated record. NCBI's taxonomy places the organism in Eukaryota, Viridiplantae, Streptophyta, Magnoliopsida, Ranunculales, Papaveraceae. The transcript is spliced from 2 exons.